Molecule: ribosomal RNA, 490 nt
Filed under: uncultured bacterium
Lineage: Bacteria
Description: partial 16S ribosomal RNA
Rfam family: Bacterial small subunit ribosomal RNA
Source: RNAcentral
AGUGAACGCUGGCGGUAGGCCUAACACAUGCAAGUCGAACGGCGGCACAGUAAGAGCUUGCUCUUACGGGUGGCGAGUGGCGGACGGGUGAGGAAUACAUCGGAAUCUACUUUUUCGUGGGGGAUAACGUAGGGAAACUUACGCUAAUACCGCAUACGACCUACGGGUGAAAGCAGGGGAUCUUCGGACCUUGCGCGAUUGAAUGAGCCGAUGUCGGAUUAGCUAGUUGGCGGGGUAAAGGCCCACCAAGGCGACGAUCCGUAGCUGGUCUGAGAGGAUGAUCAGCCACACUGGAACUGAGACACGGUCCAGACUCCUACGGGAGGCAGCAGUGGGGAAUAUUGGACAAUGGGCGCAAGCCUGAUCCAGCCAUACCGCGUGGGUGAAGAAGGCCUUCGGGUUGUAAAGCCCUUUUGUUGGGAAAGAAAAGCAGCAGGUUAAUACCCCGCUGUUCUGACGGUACCCAAAGAAUAGGCACCGGCUAACUUCG